AGGUUAAGUUAAUAAGGGCGCACGGUGGAUGCCUUGGCACUAGAAGCCGAUGAAGGACGUGACUAACGACGAAAUGCUUUGGGGAGCUGUAAGUGAGCAAUGAUCCAGAGAUGUCCGAAUGGGGGAACCCGGCAGGUAAUGCCUGUCACUCAUUACUGUUAAGGUAAUGUAGAGGAAGACGCAGUGAACUGAAACAUCUAAGUAGCUGUAGGAAGAGAAAGCAAAAGCGAUUGCCUUAGUAACGGCGAGCGAAACGGCAAGAGGGCAAACCGAAGAGUUUACUCUUCGGGGUUGUAGGACUGCAACGUGGACUUAAAGAUUAUAGAAGAACUACCUGGGAAGGUAGGCCAAAGAGAGUAAUAGCCUCGUAUUCGAAAUAGUCUUUAUACCUAGCAGUAUCCUGAGUACGGCGAGACACGAGAAAUCUCGUCGGAAUCUGGGAGGACCAUCUCCCAACCCUAAAUACUCUCUAGUGACCGAUAGUGAACCAGUACCGUGAGGGAAAGGUGAAAAGCACCCCGGGAGGGGAGUGAAAUAGAACCUGAAACCGUGUGCCUACAACAAGUUCGAGCCCGUUAAUGGGUGAGAGCGUGCCUUUUGUAGAAUGAACCGGCGAGUUACGAUAUGAUGCGAGGUUAAGUUGAAGAGACGGAGCCGUAGGGAAACCGAGUCUUAAUAGGGCGCAUUAGUAUCAUGUCGUAGACCCGAAACCAUGUGACCUACCCAUGAGCAGGUUGAAGGUGAGGUAAAACUCACUGGAGGACCGAACCAGGGCACGUUGAAAAGUGCUUGGAUGACUUGUGGGUAGCGGAGAAAUUCCAAACGAACUUGGAGAUAGCUGGUUCUCUCCGAAAUAGCUUUAGGGCUAGCGUCGAUGUUAAGUCUCUUGGAGGUAGAGCACUGUUUGGGUGAGGGGUCCAUCCCGGAUUACCAAUCUCAGAUAAACUCCGAAUGCCAAUGAGAUAUAAUCGGCAGUCAGACUGCGAGUGCUAAGAUCCGUAGUCGAAAGGGAAACAGCCCAGACCACCAGCUAAGGUCCCAAAAUAUAUGUUAAGUGGAAAAGGAUGUGGGGUUGCACAGACAACUAGGAUGUUAGCUUAGAAGCAGCUAUUCAUUCAAAGAGUGCGUAAUAGCUCACUAGUCGAGUGACCCUGCGCCGAAAAUGUACCGGGGCUAAAACAUAUUACCGAAGCUGUGGAUACCUUUAUAGGUAUGGUAGGAGAGCGUUCUAUGUGCGAAGAAGGUGUACCGUGAGGAGUGCUGGAGCGCAUAGAAGUGAGAAUGCCGGUAUGAGUAGCGAAAGACAGGUGAGAAUCCUGUCCACCGUAAGACUAAGGUUUCCAGGGGAAGGCUCGUCCGCCCUGGGUUAGUCGGGACCUAAGGAGAGACCGAAAGGUGUAUCCGAUGGACAACAGGUUGAUAUUCCUGUACUAGAGUAUAUAGUGAUGGAGGGACGCAGUAGGCUAACUAAACCAGACGAUUGGAAGUGUCUGGCCAAGCAGUGAGGUGUGAUAUGAGUCAAAUGCUUAUAUCUUUAACAUUGAGCUGUGAUGGGGAGCGAAGUUUAGUAGCGAAGUUAGUGAUGUCACCCUGCCGAGAAAAGCUUCUAGCGUUAAUUAUACUCUACCCGUCCCGAAACCCGACACAGGUAGUCGAGGCGAGUAGCCUCAGGUGAGCGAGAGAACUCUCGUUAAGGAACUCGGCAAAAUGGCCCCGUAACUUCGGGAGAAGGGGCGCUGACUGAUGGUCAGCCGCAGUGAAUAGGCCCAAGCAACUGUUUAUCAAAAACACAGCUCUCUGCUAAAUCGUAAGAUGAUGUAUAGGGGGUGACGCCUGCCCGGUGCUGGAAGGUUAAGAGGAGUGCUUAGCGUAAGCGAAGGCAUGAAUUGAAGCCCCAGUAAACGGCGGCCGUAACUAUAACGGUCCUAAGGUAGCGAAAUUCCUUGUCGGGUAAGUUCCGACCCGCACGAAAGGCGUAAUGAUUUGGGCACUGUCUCAACGAGAGACUCGGUGAAAUUUUAGUACCUGUGAAGAUGCAGGUUACCCGCGACAGGACGGAAAGACCCCAUGGAGCUUUACUGCAGUUUGAUAUUGAGUAUCUGUACCACAUGUACAGGAUAGGUAGGAGCCUAUGACCUCGGGACGCCAGUUUCGAGUGAGGCGUUGUUGGGAUACUACCCUUGUGUUAUGGCUACUCUAACCCAGAUAGGUUAUCCCUAUCGGAGACAGUGUCUGACGGGCAGUUUGACUGGGGCGGUCGCCUCCUAAAAGGUAACGGAGGCGCCCAAAGGUUCCCUCAGAAUGGUUGGAAAUCAUUCGCAGAGUGUAAAGGUAUAAGGGAGCUUGACUGCGAGAGCUACAACUCGAGCAGGGACGAAAGUCGGGCUUAGUGAUCCGGUGGUUCCGUAUGGAAGGGCCAUCGCUCAACGGAUAAAAGCUACCCUGGGGAUAACAGGCUUAUCUCCCCCAAGAGUUCACAUCGACGGGGAGGUUUGGCACCUCGAUGUCGGCUCGUCGCAUCCUGGGGCUGUAGUCGGUCCCAAGGGUUGGGCUGUUCGCCCAUUAAAGCGGCACGCGAGCUGGGUUCAGAACGUCGUGAGACAGUUCGGUCCCUAUCCGUCGCGGGCGUAGGAAAUUUGAGAGGAUCUGCUCCUAGUACGAGAGGACCAGAGUGGACUUACCGCUGGUGUACCAGUUGUUCUGCCAAGAGCAUCGCUGGGUAGCUAUGUAGGGAAGGGAUAAACGCUGAAAGCAUCUAAGUGUGAAGCCCACCUCAAGAUGAGAUUUCCCAUGAUUUUAUAUCAGUAAGAGCCCUGAGAGAUGAUCAGGUUGAUAGGUUAGAAGUGGAAGUGUGGUGACACAUGUAGCGGACUAAUACUAAUAGCUCGAGGACUUAUCCAA
Molecule: ribosomal RNA, 2901 nt
Filed under: Streptococcus thermophilus ND03
Lineage: Bacteria; Bacillati; Bacillota; Bacilli; Lactobacillales; Streptococcaceae
Description: bacterial LSU rRNA
Rfam family: Bacterial large subunit ribosomal RNA
Source: RNAcentral